GCUGGGCACAGUGGCGUAUGCCUGUAAUCCUAGCAUCUCAGGAGGCUGAGGCAGGACGGUUUUGAGUUCAAAGCCAGCCUCAGCAACUUAUCGAGACCCUGUCUCUG
Molecule: small RNA, 107 nt
Filed under: Marmota monax (woodchuck)
Lineage: Eukaryota; Metazoa; Chordata; Mammalia; Rodentia; Sciuridae
Source: RNAcentral